CAGCAGCCGCGGUAAUACGUAGGUGGCAAGCGUUGUCCGGAAUUAUUGGGCGUAAAGGGCUCGCAGGCGGUUUCUUAAGUCUGAUGUGAAAGCCCCCGGCUCAACCGGGGAGGGUCAUUGGAAACUGGGAAACUUGAGUGCAGAAGAGGAGAGUGGAAUUCCACGUGUAGCGGUGAAAUGCGUAGAGAUGUGGAGGAGCACCAGUGGCGAAGGCGACUCUCUGGUCUGUAACUGGCGCUGAGGAGCGAAAGCGUGGGGAGCGAACAGGAUUAGAUACCCGCGUAGUCCCUGUCUCUUAUAU
Molecule: ribosomal RNA, 301 nt
Filed under: uncultured bacterium
Lineage: Bacteria
Description: partial 16S ribosomal RNA
Rfam family: Bacterial small subunit ribosomal RNA
Source: RNAcentral